CAGGCCUAACACAUGCAAGUCGAGCGGAUGACGGGAGCUUGCUCCUUGAUUCAGCGGCGGACGGGUGAGUAAUGCCUAGGAAUCUGCCUGGUAGUGGGGGACAACGUUUCGAAAGGAACGCUAAUACCGCAUACGUCCUACGGGAGAAAGCAGGGGACCUUCGGGCCUUGCGCUAUCAGAUGAGCCUAGGUCGGAUUAGCUAGUUGGUGAGGUAAUGGCUCACCAAGGCGACGAUCCGUAACUGGUCUGAGAGGAUGAUCAGUCACACUGGAACUGAGACACGGUCCAGACUCCUACGGGAGGCAGCAGUGGGGAAUAUUGGACAAUGGGCGAAAGCCUGAUCCAGCCAUGCCGUGUGUGUGAAGAAGGUCUUCGGAUUGUAAAGCACUUUAAGUUGGGAGGAAGGGCAGUAAGUUAAUACCUUGCUGUUUUGACGUUACCGACAGAAUAAGCACCGGCUAACUCUGUGCCAGCAGCCGCGGUAAU
RNAcentral lists this ribosomal RNA (486 nucleotides) under Pseudomonas sp. B2. Its description in RNAcentral is "bacterial SSU rRNA". It matches the Rfam family "Bacterial small subunit ribosomal RNA", at positions 43 to 524 of the family's 1533-position model. The record is from RNAcentral. Lineage: Bacteria; Pseudomonadati; Pseudomonadota; Gammaproteobacteria; Pseudomonadales; Pseudomonadaceae.